This is an RNA transcript of Mastomys coucha (southern multimammate mouse), 5774 nucleotides long. It is a transcript of the gene named ATPase sarcoplasmic/endoplasmic reticulum Ca2+ transporting 2, with no coding region annotated. NCBI's taxonomy places the organism in Eukaryota, Metazoa, Chordata, Mammalia, Rodentia, Muridae. The transcript is spliced from 21 exons. The record is from RefSeq and is a predicted model, not a curated record.
GGCGAGAGGGGAGGCAGCGGCGGAUAAAUGCUAUUAGAGCAGCCUCCGCGGAGCCGUCCCCGACGCCACCUCCCGUCUCCUCCGCCGCAGUUUCCUCCGCCGCGGUCGGGGGUGCAGAGCUGAGGGGCCCGGGCAGGCGCGCCGCGCGGCUCCUCUCCCGUCGCCCGCCUCGCUGUCCUCCGCGUCCAGGGCUCGGCCGGACGCCCCUCCUCGGCUGUGCCGGGUCUCCCCUCAGCGAAGCGCCCGGGCCCGCGCUCCGUGCGGCCGGCCGGCUGGCAGCUAAGGCGGCGCACACUCGCGGCGGGGCGGCGGGAGGCUCGCAGCCCCUCGGGCGGGCUCGGCGAGGCCCGGCCGCGUGCGGCGGUUUCUGGGGGAGGGGGCUCGGGUGAUUCAGCGCCCGGUCAGGCGGAAGCGGCCGCCGCCGCGGAGGAGGAGGAGGAGGAGGAGAAAAAAGGAGGGGACAGCUGUCCGCGCCCGGGCGCCCGCGGUGGCACGAGCCCGCGGCCCGAGUGCGAGGCGGAGGCGAGGAGGCCGCGGGGACGCGAGGCGAGGCCGGCCGGGGCCCCCGCAGCCAUGGAGAACGCUCACACAAAGACCGUGGAGGAGGUGCUGGGCCACUUUGGCGUCAACGAGAGCACGGGGCUGAGCCUGGAGCAGGUCAAGAAGCUCAAGGAGAGAUGGGGCUCCAACGAAUUACCGGCUGAAGAAGGAAAAACCUUGCUGGAACUUGUGAUUGAGCAGUUUGAAGACUUACUAGUUAGAAUUUUAUUGCUGGCAGCAUGUAUAUCUUUCGUUUUGGCUUGGUUCGAAGAAGGUGAAGAAACGAUUACAGCCUUUGUAGAACCCUUUGUAAUUCUGCUUAUAUUGGUAGCCAAUGCAAUUGUGGGUGUAUGGCAGGAAAGAAAUGCUGAAAAUGCAAUAGAAGCUCUUAAGGAAUAUGAACCUGAAAUGGGCAAAGUGUAUCGACAGGACAGAAAGAGUGUGCAGCGAAUUAAAGCUAAAGAUAUAGUUCCUGGGGAUAUAGUGGAAAUUGCUGUUGGUGACAAAGUUCCUGCUGAUAUUAGAUUGACAUCCAUCAAGUCUACAACUUUAAGAGUUGACCAGUCAAUUCUUACAGGUGAAUCUGUCUCAGUCAUCAAGCAUACUGACCCUGUCCCUGACCCACGAGCUGUUAAUCAAGACAAAAAGAACAUGCUCUUUUCUGGUACAAACAUUGCUGCUGGAAAAGCUAUGGGAGUGGUGGUGGCAACUGGAGUUAAUACUGAAAUCGGCAAGAUCCGGGAUGAAAUGGUGGCAACAGAACAGGAGAGAACACCCCUACAGCAGAAGCUAGAUGAGUUUGGGGAGCAGCUUUCCAAAGUUAUCUCCCUCAUUUGCAUUGCAGUCUGGAUCAUCAACAUUGGGCAUUUUAAUGACCCAGUUCAUGGUGGCUCUUGGAUCAGGGGUGCCAUUUACUACUUUAAGAUUGCAGUGGCCCUGGCUGUUGCUGCCAUCCCUGAGGGUCUGCCAGCUGUCAUCACCACCUGCUUGGCUCUUGGAACUCGCAGGAUGGCAAAGAAAAAUGCUAUUGUUCGAAGUCUGCCUUCUGUGGAAACCCUUGGUUGUACUUCUGUUAUCUGCUCAGACAAGACAGGCACACUUACCACAAACCAGAUGUCUGUCUGCAGGAUGUUCAUUCUGGACAAAGUAGAAGGGGACACGUGUUCCCUUAAUGAGUUUACCAUAACUGGAUCCACAUACGCACCGAUUGGAGAAGUGCAAAAAGAUGAUAAGCCAGUGAAAUGCCAUCAGUAUGACGGGCUUGUAGAGUUAGCAACGAUCUGUGCUCUGUGUAAUGACUCUGCUUUGGAUUAUAAUGAGGCAAAGGGUGUAUAUGAGAAAGUAGGAGAAGCUACAGAGACCGCUCUCACGUGCCUGGUAGAGAAGAUGAAUGUAUUUGAUACUGAACUGAAGGGACUUUCUAAAAUAGAACGUGCAAAUGCCUGCAAUUCGGUCAUAAAACAGCUGAUGAAGAAGGAAUUCACUCUAGAGUUUUCACGUGAUAGAAAAUCAAUGUCCGUCUAUUGUACACCAAACAAACCAAGCCGGACAUCCAUGAGCAAGAUGUUUGUGAAGGGUGCUCCUGAAGGUGUCAUCGAUAGGUGCACCCACAUCCGAGUUGGAAGUACCAAGGUCCCCAUGACUCCUGGUGUCAAACAGAAGAUUAUGUCUGUCAUUCGGGAGUGGGGCAGUGGCAGUGACACACUGCGGUGCCUGGCUCUGGCCACUCAUGACAACCCACUGAGGAGAGAGGAGAUGCACCUGGAAGAUUCUGCUAACUUCAUCAAAUAUGAGACCAAUCUGACUUUCGUUGGCUGUGUGGGCAUGCUGGAUCCUCCCAGGAUUGAAGUGGCCUCUUCUGUGAAGCUGUGCCGGCAAGCAGGCAUCCGAGUCAUCAUGAUCACUGGGGAUAACAAAGGCACUGCUGUGGCCAUCUGUCGCCGCAUUGGCAUCUUUGGGCAGGAUGAGGAUGUGACAUCAAAGGCUUUUACAGGGCGAGAGUUUGAUGAAUUAAGCCCUUCAGCCCAGCGAGAUGCCUGCUUAAAUGCCCGUUGUUUUGCUCGAGUUGAACCUUCCCACAAGUCUAAGAUCGUUGAGUUCCUUCAGUCCUUUGAUGAGAUCACAGCUAUGACUGGUGAUGGUGUGAAUGACGCUCCUGCUCUUAAGAAAUCUGAAAUCGGAAUUGCCAUGGGUUCAGGUACUGCAGUGGCUAAGACGGCCUCUGAGAUGGUCCUGGCAGAUGACAACUUCUCCACCAUUGUGGCUGCUGUUGAGGAGGGACGAGCCAUCUACAACAACAUGAAGCAGUUCAUCCGCUACCUCAUCUCAUCCAAUGUGGGGGAAGUGGUCUGCAUCUUCCUAACGGCAGCCCUUGGGUUUCCUGAGGCUUUAAUUCCUGUCCAGUUACUCUGGGUCAAUCUGGUGACAGAUGGUCUGCCUGCCACUGCGCUGGGGUUCAACCCUCCAGACCUGGACAUCAUGAACAAACCCCCCCGGAACCCAAAAGAACCGCUGAUCAGCGGGUGGCUCUUUUUCCGUUACCUGGCUAUUGGCUGUUAUGUUGGCGCUGCCACUGUGGGUGCUGCUGCAUGGUGGUUCAUCGCUGCUGAUGGUGGUCCAAGAGUCUCCUUUUACCAGCUGAGUCAUUUCCUACAGUGUAAGGAGGACAACCCAGACUUCGAUGGAGUGGAUUGCGCAAUCUUUGAGUCCCCAUAUCCAAUGACAAUGGCACUUUCUGUUCUAGUAACCAUAGAGAUGUGUAAUGCUCUCAACAGCUUGUCUGAAAAUCAGUCUUUGCUGAGGAUGCCUCCCUGGGAAAAUAUCUGGCUCGUGGGCUCCAUCUGCUUGUCCAUGUCACUUCACUUCUUGAUCCUCUAUGUGGAACCUUUGCCACUCAUUUUCCAGAUUACACCGCUGAAUCUGACCCAGUGGCUGAUGGUGCUGAAAAUCUCCUUGCCUGUGAUCCUCAUGGAUGAGACGCUCAAGUUUGUGGCCCGAAACUACCUGGAACCCGGUAAAGAGUGUGUGCAGCCUGCCACCAAAUCCUCCUGCUCCCUGUCGGCAUGCACCGAUGGCAUUUCCUGGCCGUUUGUGCUGCUCAUUAUGCCCCUGGUGGUCUGGGUCUACAGCACAGACACUAACUUUAGUGAUAUGUUCUGGUCUUGACUGACAGCGCUACAUACAGAAGAUGUUUAACUUAAUCAAUUAAUUUUUUAUUGUUUAAAGCAACUGUCUAUUUCUGCUGAAUUUUCACAUGAACAUAUUGGCUGGUGAAGGAGGUUUCAUAUCUAGAUUUUGUUUUGCUUUUUCUGACUCCAGUGGGACAAGAUUUUCCUUUUUUUUAUACACAUAAUUAAAGUGUCCAUUGACAUGUACAGAGAACUAACACUAUUUUAUGCAGAUAUUUUUUUGUAGAUGAAAAAGCAUGUACAGUGUUCUGUUUAAUACUCAUACUUGUACAAAGAUAGUUGAGCCAGCAGACAUUGUCAGCAAAUUAAUUGGCAGCAGACUUAGGAAAUGAAUGUGUGUGGUUUUUAAAAGAAAAAAAAACUAAAUAGCAUGUAUUGUGUCUUUUGCAUGAUUCUCUGGAUUUAAUUUGGUAUCACAGUCUAAUUUUUAUUCAUAAGCCAAUUUUUCUGCACUGAGCAGAGUCCUGCUACCUCAGUCAGUAUUUUUGGUUUGCCACUUCCUGCACCCUCAGCCUCUGUCACCCCCAGCCCACCCCAGCCCGCUCGGCUUCUUCUGUAGGUCUGAUGGUUCUGUUUACAUCCGUCUUCACGAGAGGUUUGCCUGUCUCGCUUGUGCAGAAAACAUUGCUCCAGAUUCAAUCGACUGGGUUUCUGUCCCUUCACCUAGUUUUUAAGGUUAUUUAUUUAAAUGUCUAAUGUAUUUUAUUGUAACAGACAUUGUUUUGCCAACAUUGCCUAUUCAGUGGCACUUCACAAUCUAGUUUAAAAGAAAAAUAAAACAUUUUAAAUGGACAGAGAAAAAUAACUGUCUUGUUCUUAAUGGCCUUGAACUACCUAUAUAAUCAGUUCAAAUUUCUGAGCUUCUCAGCUUAAGAGCCUUAGUUUCCUGUUCCUGAGGAGAAGAAUCCUAAGAAUCCUGUUCUGCUGCAUAGUAGGAUUUUAUUUACAAUGUAUAGGCACGAUCUGUCAUGUGAUAUACAUUUACUCAAGUUUCUGCUGGCCUGUUGUAUGUAGGUUGGUGUUAAGGGCAAGUGUGUGCGUAUGUAUGUGUAUGUUUUGUAAAAUCUGUAAAUAGCACAUGACCAAAUGAACAUAUUGUAUAGAAAUAUUUUUAUUUGAAUAUGGCACUAACCACCACCACCAUGACUGAUGAACGUUUGCGCAUGUUCAAGGUCAGUCUUAACGGCAGUGUGAGUCAUUAACAGUCCUAACUGUGGUGUUUUCCUCCAAUGCCUUCCAACAUCCAUCAAUUAACCAAUACUGGAGUAACCGCUUCCUAAACCAUUUGCAGAAAUGUAAGGGUGUUCGGGUGCGUGCAUGUGCGUUGUUAGCAACACAUCUACCCGCCCUCUGCAUGACUGAGGUUGGGGAAAAGAAAAAUAGAAGCAGUCCCCAACUCACUGUGUGAUGUGGAGGAAAUGUGUAUUACCAUUGGGGUUUUAGCUGUUCAAUCAAAAUAAUAACAAAUGUACAGUUUAGCAUAAUGAGUCAGAGCGCCUCUCCAGAGAAGUUGGUUUCUUUGCUGCAAGAAGAGUGAGGUUCUGAAACCUUAUCCAAGACGGAAGCCAUCAGCCAAGUCUCCACAUUUCUCUGCAAUGACAUAGCCUCUAGAAGUGUAUAAUUGUACUGCAUGCCUUCAGUUGUAAGCGGCCAGACUGCUCUACAGUGACAUUGAAACAUGCUUUCUAAUUGGCCCUGUACAGUUUGCUUAUUUAUAAAUUCAUUUAAAACACUACAGCUGUUGAAUGGUUACAACAUAGACCUCCGGUCCUAACUUCAGUUGUUUUUAGGUGUGCAGCCAGCUGUUCCACACUGUAUUAUUGUAACUUAUUUAAUGAAGUCAGAAGCAGUAGACAGAUGUUGGUGCAAUACAAGUAUUGUGUGCAUUUAUCGUAAUAAAGUGCUCAGCGUCAGUUCAGUUCCUCACAGCUUCUCACAGUGCAUGUUUGACUGUAGACUGUAAAUAGAGGUCAGUUUCUGUGCUGGUAACAGGUAUUGCACAGACAUGAUUUCAGGUAAAUAAAUCUAUUCUAUGAUAAACCCUCA